GUCUAUGGCCAUGCCACCCUGAACAAGCCCUAUCCUUGUCUGAUCUCAGAAGCUAAGCAGGGUCGGGCCUGGUUAGUGCUUGGAUGGGAGACCACCUAGGAAGACUAGGUGCUGUAGGCA
This 120-nucleotide ribosomal RNA is filed under the name Pteropus alecto (black flying fox). The record is from RNAcentral. Lineage: Eukaryota; Metazoa; Chordata; Mammalia; Chiroptera; Pteropodidae. RNAcentral also lists the same sequence under 1 other name.